RNAcentral lists this ribosomal RNA (446 nucleotides) under Filifactor sp. canine oral taxon 064. RNAcentral describes it as "bacterial SSU rRNA". It matches the Rfam family "Bacterial small subunit ribosomal RNA", at positions 9 to 436 of the family's 1533-position model. The record is from RNAcentral. Lineage: Bacteria; Bacillati; Bacillota; Clostridia; Peptostreptococcales; Filifactoraceae.
GAGUUUGAUUCUGGCUCAGGAUGAACGCUGGCGGCGUGCUUAACACAUGCAAGUCGAACGGACGAAUCUUAUCGGAGUUUUUCGGAACAAAGAAAAGAUAAGUUAGUGGCGGACGGGUGCGUAACGUGUGGGUAAUCUGCCUUUGUCAUGGGAAUAACUGCUUGAAAGAGCAGCUAAUACCGAAUAACAUAUGCAAUAGGCAUCUAUUGGAUAUCAAAGAGAAAUCGGACAAAGAUGAGCCCGCAUCUGAUUAGCUAGUUGGUAGGGUAACAGCCUACCAAGGCAACGAUCAGUAGCCGACCUGAGAGGGUGAACGGCCACAUUGGAACUGAGACACGGUCCAAACUCCUACGGGAGGCAGCAGUGGGGAAUAUUGCACAAUGGGGGGAACCCUGAUGCAGCAACGCCGCGUGAGUGAAGAAGGCUUUCGAGUCGUAAAACUCUGU